GGGCCUGUAGCUCAGAGGAUUGGAGCACGUGGCUACGAACCACGGUGUCAAGGGUUCGAAUCCCUCCUCACCCCCA
RNAcentral lists this transfer RNA (76 nucleotides) under Malus domestica (apple). Its description in RNAcentral is "tRNA MD16G0186700". It matches the Rfam family "tRNA". Rfam says of the family: Transfer RNA (tRNA) molecules are approximately 80 nucleotides in length. Their secondary structure includes four short double-helical elements and three loops (D, anti-codon, and T loops). Lineage: Eukaryota; Viridiplantae; Streptophyta; Magnoliopsida; Rosales; Rosaceae. The record is from RNAcentral.